GGCUUCCAGUUUACAGCUUCACAAACAUACCUCGAUUUAAGAUAUAGGACAUAUAAAUACCAAUCCCUCUCCCCCACAAAAACCCUCCCCCAUGCCCCCUAGAAAAUAGUCCCUACAUAGGAGAGGCUAUCUUCCUCCCCCGUCCAACAUGCCACCCCGCAACCACGACCUCCCCUCCGAUGAAGACGACAACGACGCCCUCUUCGCCGCCCUCGAAAGAGAAGAAGAUAGCCCCUCUUACAAAGCCCAACGCAUCGAACAGCUGCAAUCAGAACUAGCGGCCCGCGCCCAACAGCAACAAGAACAACAUCAAAAGAACAGCAGCAACAGCGACGAACUCGACGAUAAUAAUAACGCCACAACUUUCCAAAACACCCUCGUCCCCACACUCCCAUCCGACCAAUCCCUCCUCGACUUCACAACCCGCCACCCGCGCUGCGUCAUCCACUUCUCCCACCCGGACUUUGCGCGCUGCGCUGUGAUGGACAGACACAUCCACGCCCUCGCAGGCCUCCAUCACGAGACCCGCUUCGCAACCGUGGAUGUUCGCAGGAUACCAUUUGUCGUGGAGAAGCUAAAGGUGAAGGUGCUGCCGUGCGUGAUUGGGUUUGUGGACGGGGUGGGCGUGGAGAGGAUUGUGGGGUUUGAGGGGCUGGGGUACGGCGGGCGGCACGACGCUGAUGAGGAGUUUC
This 692-nucleotide small RNA is filed under the name Histoplasma capsulatum var. duboisii H88. Its description in RNAcentral is "Histoplasma capsulatum H88 hypothetical RNA". Lineage: Eukaryota; Fungi; Ascomycota; Eurotiomycetes; Onygenales; Ajellomycetaceae. The record is from RNAcentral.